CUAGCUGUGAGGUUGGGGUGACAGGUUCUCCUGGCAGAGCGACAUCUGGGCUUCUGGGAGUUUUCUGUGUCAACCAACUGCUGGAGAAGUGUCCAUAGUAGCUGGCCUGUAGUGCCUGAGAGCUCCAGAGGCAGCCACAAACAUAUUUUGAAGGAUAGGGAUGUGGUGAGGAAGGGCUGUGGUGUUGAGGGACAGCUGUAGAGCCACCAGCCACCUUUCCUCAUCUAGACCUGGUACAGAAACCUGAGAUGGCUUUCCCUAAGGGCCUUGAAAAGCCACAGCCUGAUGGUACCCAGUCAGGCAGUGUCAGCCAGGCUUUAGCUGCAGAACAACUCACCUCAACAUCCAUCCCCAUCCCUCUGAUCACAGGCUCAGCUGUGAGCAUCCAAACCCCUGUGACCAUGGCACGAGGGUAAGAGGUCCCUGCAUGGUGACUGAGGGUCAGAUUGGGUUUUCCUGAGCAGUUGACUGCACCACAAACUGACUAUGAAUUCACUGGGUUCUCUGAGCCACAGUAAGUUGUCCAGCUUGCCUUGGGCCAUCUCUGAGGAUCCUUGUGUUCACCCAACACCAGUGCUGGGUGGUACCAAGCCUGCCUCUGUGUUUCUCAGCCUGCCAGACUGCAUCUUGCCACACCUCAGGCCAGCAAGGUCUGUCCCCGAGGCUGUAUUUGGUCCCCUGGGAUUUCAGCCUUGCUGCGGCUUUAUUAAAGAGUGAGGAGGCAGGUGGAACAUGCUCCUUGUUGCACUGGGGCCUGCUGAGCACCUCAGCAAUUCCAGCUCUGUUGGCAGGGUUAGCGGUCCACAUGGCAUCCCAGUACCAGCAUUGAGGCUGGCAAGACCUGUUUAGGCCAGUCAGGACAUCCCAGACCUCAAGGACACUACUCAGGACAAGCCAGACACCAGAUGCAGACUGCAAUCCUCGGGCACAGAAAAAAAGUGGCGUGGGUGCUCGAAGCUGGGAGAGGAUGUGUGGAAUGUGGACAUAGCUUUGUUGCGCUGAGACUGAUAGGAUCCUCAGCAGGUGGAUGGUGGACAUGACCACCCAAACUUGAGAAUGAGCUUCCUGCCUCCAAGCUUUGUCCUGAAAAAGUUAAGGUGGUAAACUUCAUGCUUGGGGUAGUGUUGAAGGAGCCCACCCUCCACGUAGGCCAGCUGGCCUCAGACUUGCAACCCUGCCCUCCUACAUGUGCCGCUGUCCUGCCUACUGGAGGACUGUUUACUGCCCAAAGGCCUAUGGUGCCUCGCAUACAGCAAGUGCUUAAUAAAUGCUGAGAAGCAGAAGUGCUGGGCUGACCAGUUCCUGCCUCCUGUAAGCCCUACCUGUCCCUGCCCCAUCCCUGUCGCCUGCCCCUCAGGUGCAGGGUUACAGUGGGGUAUCAUGAAACGGAGGGGAUAUUUUGCUAGUGUACCUUGUAGUCUACUUUUAAGACAUCUGGUCACUGGGUGUCAUGGCAUACAUGCAAGUUCAAGGCCAGCCUGGAUUACAUUACCAAGUUCUAGGACAAAAGAAACAUCUCACUGUGGCUAGUGACAGGUGUGUCGCAGUCCUUGAGGACACCAUAAUUAGUUAACACUGAAGUCAUUCAGGAUGGUUACCCCCCAGGCAGCAACUCACAUAACCCAGUCCCUGUCCCUUCAGACUGACCGGGUCCCCUGGCCACAUACUAAUGUCACCUGGUUCGGAACAAGUAUUCAGGGACCUGCCCUCUUGAGCUUGCUGCACACGAUUGAUCCUGGUCUCAGCUCCUUCAUGCCUACACCUUUCCAGGCAUCUGUUACUCUGCCCCUGACCACGCCCCCAGUCCCUCACUGGGGGAUUCUAGGCAGGGCUCCACACCUUAUCAUGGCUUCUGCCUCGGGUUAUUUUUGGGGAGUUGGAGGGGGCUCGCCACAGGGUUUCUCUGUGUAGUCCUGACUCCUAGAACUCACUCUAGACCAGGCUGGUCUCAAACUCAAAAGAUCCACCUGCCUCUGCCUCCUGAGUGCUGGGAUUAAAACUGCGCGCCACCACCGCCUGGCUGAAAUGUUUUUCAUCCAAUAUAUUUUGAUCAUGUCUUUCCCUGCCACCUGUUGAACUUUGUUCUUUUUUGUUCUUCAGUAACACAGGCACAGAGAAAAACCACAAAGUCAAAAAAUAAAACAUGCAAGUAAACAACCAAUAAGCCCAAAAACAAUUCUCAAGGAAAGCAAAAUAGACUGUUGGGUUCGUUUUAUGUUGGCCAGCUACUGGGCAUGGGGCCUGCCCUGGUGUGUGGUUAGUAAAUCAGCACAUUCAUUGAAGAAAGCUGCUUUUCCUUCUCUCACGGUAUCAGUUGGAGGUUUACAGCUUCUUUGGUAGGGUGGAAGCUCCAGUCUUUGUUUGUUUGUUUUUCGAGACAGGGUUUCUCUGUGGCUUUGGAGCCUGUCCUAGAACUACCUCUGUAGACCAGGCUGGUCUCGAACUCACAGAGACCCGCCUGCCUCUGCCUCCCGAGUGCUGGGAUUAAAGGCGUGUGCCACCAUCGCCCGGCGGGAGCUCCAGUCUUUCCCCUGUGUGUCAGUCCUGUUGUGUCUGGAAGACAGUUUUCAGGUAGACUUUCUGAGGUGUGGUGGAGACCUCCCAUUUAUGCUGCACUCCCGACCUCACUUUCUGCACCUUGUCCAGCUGUGGGUCUCUGUUCAUUCCUAUCCGCUGUGGGAGGGAGCUUCCCUGAUGGUCCGGUCCCUGACACCAUCAUCCAGGCAGCGAAGGCAGGUCCAUGGAUUCCAGAACACCCUAUCCAACAAACUGGCUCCUAGCUCCUUGCUCAAGCAGGUGUUGUUGGGCUGUGAGUUCCAGCUGUCAUCUAUAAUGUCAUGUUAGCAAGGCCCUUGUCUCCAGCCUCCCACAUGCCAAAGCCACCAAAGGUGUCUCAAGCCUUCUAGACCCGUCCCACCCUCCCCAUGGGGACUGAGAAGCCAGCAGGAGCCCGUGGAAUGGCUCUCCCAGGAGGCACUGGUCUUUCUGCAGGCGUGACCAAGUAUUGAGAGUGGCUUUCAGUGUCUACUUCCUGUUCCUGGGGUCACCAGAGUGACCAUGAGCUGGGGUUCCCACAUGUUCCUCGCUGUUCUGUCAUUCACUUCCAAAUGCUUCUUGUGACACAUCUGCCACUUGGCUUCCUAGAGGUGACCAGCCGGAACAGUCUUCCCAGAGAGGGAACAGCGUAUGCAGGCACCCUAGGCAGUACCCACAGCAGGCUUCAGCCCUGGAGGCGAGAGACUGAAGGAUGCUACCUUUUGUGAUGCUACCUUGCAUGUCUUUAAUCCCAGCACUCCAGAGGCAGAAGCAAGCAGAUCUUGAGGCCAGCCUAGUCUACAGAGUGAGUUCCAGGACAGGCUCCAAAGAGAAACGCUGUCUCGGAAAAAUAAAAAUAAUAAAAUUUAAAAAGCCAGGCAGUGGUAACGCAAGGCGCACGCCUUUAAUCCUAGCGCUCUGGAGGUAGAGGCAGGCAGAUCGCUGAGAGUUCGAGGUCAGGAAAAGAAAAGAAAAAGAAAAAAGAGAAAAGAAAAAGGUAGAAGGGAGAGACAGGCACAGGCCUGUUGAGGGGGCGGGGCUCGUUUUCAGACCUACCACUUCUUCCCCGCAUGGCCACAAGGUGACGCCUAAGAGCCACGCUGUGCCAAGGAGUCCCCACUGCCUGAGAUCCUGGGACCUUGGUGGUGGCUAGUGUGGAUCCUCCCCUGUACCCAAAGUCUCUGGAGGCCCCGAGAUCCAGCGAGAUUUGGCCUGAGCCAGACUCAGAAUCCAGAGUUGCUCUCCAUCCUUGGCUACAUCACAAGCCUGGGCUACAUGAAGCCCCCCCAAAUAACUAUAAUAACAAAUGAGGGGAGGCAUUGGGCAGGCUCAGUGAGGAAAAGUACUUAACAACCAAGCCUGACAACGGGAAUUCCAUCCCACAAGGUGUCCUCUGCCUUUCGUGUGCAAGCACACACACAGACACACAAGUAAUUUUUUUUUAAUUAGGAAAAAGCUGCAGACCCUCUUCCCCAUGGCCCUGGCCCUCGCUGUAACCAGUGGGUCCCCAUCAGUGGGUCCCCAUGAGUGACACUCAAGAGCUCAGCAUAUGGGUGAUAGGUGGGGAUGUGGGGACCUGGUCACCCACUCACCGACUGCCCCCGCUAGAGCUCAGUUUUCCCGUGUGCUGUGGGUUGAAUGUGAAUGACUCAGGUGCACUAUGCCCUGGUCUGACUGUCCACACAGGGACCACACAGCUGUCUGAGCCAGGAUCCUCAGCCCAGUGACUGAUUCUGCUUCCUGCAGUCACACAGCAAAGUAGACCAGUGUGGGUGGGAUCUGUGGUUUGUAUUGAAAGAGCCCCCAACCUCCACUGCCUAGAAUCCUCCAGUGACGGGCUGAGGGCGUGGUCAUGGUGGAGCUCCGCCUAGAAUCCCCAGUGAGGGGCUUGAGGCGUGGCCAGGGUGGAGCCCCGCCUAGAAUCCUCCAGUUAAGGUUGUCAUUUCCCUAAUGUAUGCCCAGCCUUGGAUUCCAUUCCAAGUUGUUUUUGUUUUUUGAUUUUUUUAGAUUUAUUUAUUAUUAUGUAUACAGCAUUCUGCCUCGAUGUGUGCCUGCACGCCAGAGGAGGGCGCCAGAUCUCAGUACAAAUGGUUGUGAGCCACCAGGUGGUUGCUGGGAAUUGAACUCAGGACUUCUGGAAGAGCGGCCAGUGCUCUUAACCUCUGAGCCAUCUCUCCAGCCCUUGUUUUUUGAUUUUUUUUUUUUUUUGAGACAGGGUUUCUCUGUAGCUUUGGAGCCUGUCCUGGAACUAGCUCUCUUAGAUCAAGCUGGCCUCGAACUCACAGAGAUCUGCCUGUCUCUGCUCCCCGCCUCCCCUCCAGUGUUGGAAUUUAAAGCCCAUUACAAGCUUUUUGUGGUUUGAGUUUUCGUUGUUUGUUUGGUUUCAAGACAGGGUUUUGCCCUGUUUCCAUCACACCUGUGCUCCAUCAAACCCACAGGGACCCAUUGAUUACAGUGAGGGCCAGGGCCAUGGGGGCUGCAGCGGGUGGAGGCCACCUGAGCUGAGACGGUUGUCUGUGCUUUGACUCUUUGGAGGGAUCGUGGCUUUGUGUUGUGGCCCAGGCAGCGGCAGCAAACUCGGAUAAUCCCUGAAGAGCUGGAGGCUCAGGCCACAGCGUGGAACCAGCCAGCUCUCAUCUUGGCAGACAUUUGAAUUUGCUUUUCAAGAAGUCACUUUAACAGUUCCCCUUUUCCUACUGUACAGUGCAGUGUUGGUUCUUGAUUCACAGGUACUUCCGUGUAGCCUUCACUAUCCUGGAACUUGCUCUGUCAACCAGGCUCGAACUCACAGAGAUCUACCUGCCUCUGCCUCCGAGGGCUGGGAUUAAAGUUAUGCGCCACCACAGCCCGGCCUCCAUUCCAAAUUUUACAUCAAAGAUGUGCCCUUUUCAUAAACAUUCUAUGCCUUCUGUUCAUUUCUUUAAUCUACUAUUGGUUCUUGUUGAUUUACAGAAACUUUAUAUACUGUGAAGUCAGGCUUUAGGUGUCGACUGUCAUGGGUUUUCGUCAGCUUCGUCCCUGUUCCCCUGUGUGAAGUGUUUGGGUGUAGGUGUUGUCAGCUAUUAAUCUCGUAAUUAGAGCCUCUUGGAUUUAAUGUCACCCAACACAGCACACUGAGAUGUAUGAUUUUCCUGUGUAUUUUCCUUGUUGGGGGGGGGGUGUCAAGAUCCCACUCUAUAGACCAGGCUAGCCCUGUUCUCUCAGGGAUUCCCCCUACCUUUGAAGUACACAAAAAUGUCACUGGUGCUGAAUUUUUAGAAUUGUUUUUCUCCGUGGAAUCAAAUUUAACACCUUCUAGAGUGUUCUCUCGGCAGAGCCAUUCCUGGGUGAGUGUGCGUCAGGAGACUUGUGACAACAUCUUUUUUUUUUUUUUUUUUGUGACAACAUCAUCUUACAAGGCGCCGGUGGACAGAGACACUGAGAGGCUCAGGGAGAGACAAGGUUGCCCAUGACAACGCCGAGUCUGUGUCAGAGGGAAAACUGCUCCAUCCUGUGGGGCAGGCAAGGAAGACACAUGUUGCAUUCUGGCCUCGCUCCCUCCACUCCAGCAACAGGGCCAACUCCCAGCUUCUCCAACACACCAGGGUCUCUCCUGCUCUGUGGUCUCUGCCCCAGGGCCUUAGCAUCUGUGCAAAGACAGGAAAGGUUGCCGUGGAGGCCCGGGCAGAGCCAACAAACCUCACCAGCCCUCCUCCCUCCCCUCCCCGCCCCCGUGGGCUGCUCCUGCAGCAGGGCGUGCCUGGGAAGGGGUGGAGGGGCGGGGGCGGGUGGCCUAGCCGGUCAGGCAGGAGCUGGCCUGCGGAGUCUCAGGCUGGCGGCGGCCAUGGAGGGGCUGCGUCGCGGGCUGUCGCGCUGGAAGCGCUACCACAUCAAGGUGCACUUGGCCGACGAGGCGUUGCUGCUGCCACUGACCGUGCGGCCCCGCGACACGCUGAGCGACCUGCGCGCGCAGCUGGUGGGCCAGGGCGUGAGCUCGUGGCGCAGAACCUUCUACUACAACGCUAGGCCUCUGCCAGACCACCAGACGGUGCGCGAGGCGCGCCUACAGGACGGCUCGGUCCUGCUGCUGCUCAGCGACCCCAGGUAACUGGGUCUGGAGGAGUUGGAGCCAUGAUUUUUGGAAUGCAAGCUGGCUGAAGGAGCAAAUGGGCCGGGGGCGGCACACUUCUGUCUUCCUGGGAGCCCAGCCUUAUUCCAGAUUCAGGUGCUGGGCUCCCAGGUAGAUGUGACACCUGGGCCCAACUGAUGCCCACUGCCUCCCAGAUGCUUUCCAGUCCACCAGCAAGGAGUCUUACGGUUUCUCCAUGGCCUUGUGACCACUCCCUCCCCUGGGAGCCUCCACCACCUGAAUCUUCGACUGUGCCCUCAUCCAGGAAGCCCUCCAUCAACAGGCACAGUUCCUUCUUUGGUGACCCACAAGGCUCCAGCUCAGAACGGUUCUGGCUACAGGAGGAUCUGGUGGGGCCAUGACCAAGGAGACUCUGAUCUGAGGGGACUCGAUGAGCCUACGUAUGUGCAAAGUGAUCUGCCACGGACUGUGGAUGCUCUCCUCCGCAGCCCAGUAUUGGGGUGCUGUGCUGAGUCUUCGGGAGGCCCCCCAUGCUGUGGGCUGCAUGGUGGGCCCAGAAGGCAAUACAUCCUAAUUAAGAGUUGUACAGGCCUCAGGGUGCGGAGGUGGGGACUGAAUCUUGGCCUUGGGGAGCUGGGCUACUGAGCAUGCACAAGUGUGCCGGGGCCUCAGGGGUCUCCUUUGCUCGGCUGUGGGGGUAGCCGCAGUC
RNA transcript from Alexandromys fortis (reed vole), 7313 nucleotides. It is a transcript of the gene named TINCR ubiquitin domain containing, with no coding region annotated. The transcript has 4 exons. NCBI's taxonomy places the organism in Eukaryota, Metazoa, Chordata, Mammalia, Rodentia, Cricetidae. The record is from RefSeq and is a predicted model, not a curated record.